Culex pipiens pallens (northern house mosquito) is the source of this 3368-nucleotide long non-coding RNA. RefSeq lists it as uncharacterized. NCBI's taxonomy places the organism in Eukaryota, Metazoa, Arthropoda, Insecta, Diptera, Culicidae. The record is from RefSeq and is a predicted model, not a curated record. The transcript has 3 exons.
UUUGAGUUUGAUUUGAUUUUUUUUUUGGUUUUAUUCCGUUCAAUUUAACGAAUCCGCUUUGAAAAUCAAGAUUAUUGUUGAAUCAACGCUAAACGUCAAAGCAACUUUUUCAAAACAACAAAAGAUUUUUGUGAAAUUAAGAAAAUUAAGGUUUGUUUCAACGCAAAAUCGGCGUUGAUUAUAUUCAACAAAUUUUUUGUUAAAUCAAACCUCGUACAGGCUGAUUCUACAAAAUAUUUUUCUGCGUGUAAUACUAGAAAUAAUCAAAUGAUUCGAAAUACAGGAAAUGAUAAUAUCAAAAAAAAAAAAAAACAUGAAAAAAUUAAUAAAUACUAAAAAGGGUUGUGUUGGGACGGUGUGUAGUUUAUGGACACGUCCUUAUUGUGUACAUUCUGAAGAACAAUACGAAGGUUCACUUGUGACGAAUAAAGAUCUGACGAUCACUCUCUUCUUCAUCCAGCCACCGUCCUAGACGGUUGGUCUGAAGUGUAGUGCAAGCUAUUGUUUCAUUUCUGCUGCUAUCCUUGGUCAUCUGGGAACCUGCAAUCAAUCAACACAACGUACUAUGGGUCCUACUGCUUUGCGCGAUCAGGUUGAAAUACUGAACAAAAAACAUGAUAAAGCUUAAAUAUAUGAAAUAUUUGAGAUAUUCAAAUGUUUCAAAAUACUUAAAAUACUAAAAACACCAGUGUUACGACCGCUGAGAUGGCCACACUGCCACACGGUGUAGAGCCGGCGGUGUAAUAGGCCGACUCCAACUAAACUGUCAACGCGCGCGAAAGCAGAGAAGAAACAAAAACAAGUGCGUGUGUGACACACAGUGGCAACACGCAAAACCUAAAAAACUCCAUUUUACUCGGCAAAGUGCGAUCGUGUGGAGAAGUUGUUGUUCGGAUCUGUUCGGGGAAAAUAUUGUGUUGUAGGCGUUUUCAAAGUUGAAUUUAUUGAAACAGCUUAAACUUAGCACACCUCAACGUUGAAGACCACAAAGCUGCUCCGCCGCCGUACCGUCACUUAGCACAACAUUGUACAGUGACUUUGACCUGAAGUGGGACAGAGGAGAGGAAAGGAAGAGGAGUUGUAGGAGUGAAGGAAAGGAAAAGUUUUCCGUUGGAAAGGAAGACUAAUUUAGUAAGUAACACAGACACAAAACUGUAAACUAAAACUAAAUAAACUUACCUUUUGCAGUUUUGUAGCUGUCAAAAGACUGCUCACAAAAGUUGGUUUUACUACCACCCGAACAACCAGACAAAUUUGAUUUUUUUAAACUCGAGAUACUUGAAAUACAAAAAAUCCUUGAAAUUAUUGAUCGACUUGCAAUAUUUUGAGAUCCAUAAAAUAGGUGUAAUAUUUGAAAUGUUUGAUUUUCUUGAAAUAUAUGAAAUACAAGGUUGUUAACGAUAAAAUUAUCGAGGCUCGAUAACGAUAACGAUAAUUCUAUCGUUAUCGACUUAGUUCAACCAAAUCGUGUUAAAUUUUCAAUGUUUUCACUGAGAAUAUAUUUUUUGAAAAUUUAGUAAGUUUCAAAGUAUAAAUACUCAAAAUUGUCCACAAAAUUCCGUAUUUUUCGAAAGAACUCAAAUUUUCAUAAUUUGCAAUUUAUCAAACGAAGCGAAAUGUUGCAUGCUUUUUCACUAUAAUAAAAAAAAUUUAAGCUUUUCACAAAAUACCCUAUUUCUUCGAAAAUAUUAAAAUUUUCAAAAUAUGCAAUAUGGGUAUCAAACAAAGCGAAAUUUGAUGUUUAUUUUCAGUUUAUUAGAGUUUUCUUUAUGAAAUACUGAAUUUUUCACAAAAUACUGUAAUUUUCGAAAAUACUCAAAUUUUUAAAAUCCGCAAUGGAAGCGGAAUUUUGAAUGCAUUUUCACUUACUUAAAAAAAAUAUAUGAGGCAUGAACUAUUUCGCAUAUUUAGAAAAUUUUAAUAUUUUCGAAACAAAAUACGGUAUUUUGUGAAAAUUUUAACAUUUAUUAAAAAAACUUCAUUAUUGUGAAAAAACAUACAACAUUUCUCUUCGUUUGUUCUCAUAUUGCAAAUUUUGUAAAUUUGAGUAUAUUCGAAAAAAACGGUAUUUUGUUAAAAUUUUAGUAUUUUUCAAAAAAAAACUCUAAUGAAGUUAAAAAGGCAUACAAAAUUUCGCUUCGUUUGAUACCCAUAUUGCAAAUUUUGAAAAUUAGGGUAUUUUCGAAAAAAUACGGUAAUUUGUGAAAAUGUCAGCAUUUUUCAAAAAAAUUAUCUAUUAAAGUGAAAAAGCAUACCAAAUUUCGCUUCGUUUGAUACCCAUAUUGCAAUUUUUGCAAAUUUGAGUAUUUUCGGAAAAAUGCGAUAUUUUGUGAAAAUUUUAGUAUUUAAAAAAACUCCUAUGAAGUGAAAAAGUAUACAAAAUUUCGCUUCGUUUGAUACCCAUAUUGCAGAUUAUGAAAAUUUGAGUACUUUUGAAAAGUAUAGUAUUUUGUGAACAAUUUUGAGCAUGCUGCUUUGAAACUUACUACAUUUUCAAAAAAUAUUUCUUAUAAUACUUAAUUAACACGAUUUGGUUGAAUUAAGUCGAUAUUAGAAAGAAUUUAAAAAUGAGUUAUCGUCCAUUAUUGGCGAUAAGAUAAUCGCCGAUAGAAUUAUCGAAAUAACGAUAACGAUAGAUUAUCGUUAUUGUCCCGACGAUAACGAUAACCAUUAUCGUUAUCGUUAGACAAAAAAUUAUCGACGAUAAAUUUUUCGAUUAACGAUUUUCGAUCCGAAGGUUUGUAUGAGAUUUCGGAUAAUCGAGUCACGAACAAAAGAACAUUUUUUUCGUAUUUUUAAAUUUUCUUGUUUUUAACAUCAAAUUUGAGUUCUGUGACCCCAUUUUAAACAAAUUUGAAUGGCCUAUUAAAUUACCAAAUGCAUUUUUUCAAUAUUUCAUCACCGCAAUUUUGGCCGCCAUCUUGGAUUUAAACAUUCUUAAUCACUUUAGAGUUGUUUAGGGGUCAUACUUAAAUUCAGCAAUAAAAAAAAGACAACAAAAAAAUAUUUUUUUCGUGGUUCGAUUAUCCGAAGUGAAAUUUUUUCGAGACCUUCGGAUAAUCAAGUCUGGGCUGUAUCUGAAUUAUUUUGUAGCUGUAAGUAUCUCCAAAACUCUGUAUUUUGUAAUUAGUUAAGCAUUUUGUAUUAUGAUAAGUACAACAAAUAAACAUGAAUUGAAUAAAUACAAACAAUUACAUACCAAAAAUUAAAAAAAAAUAAAUAUAAAAAAACUUCAAAAAAUCAAAAAUUUAAAAAUUCAAAGAAUCCAAAACAUAAAAAUAAAAAAAAAUCUAAAAUUUAAAAAAUUCAAGAACUCAAAGAUUUCAAAAUUUUAAAUUCCAAAGGCAAAAAUCAAAAACAAGUCAAAA